This 24476-nucleotide long non-coding RNA is filed under the name Solanum melongena (eggplant). RNAcentral's name for it is "long non-coding RNA (SMEL_LNC000097)". Lineage: Eukaryota; Viridiplantae; Streptophyta; Magnoliopsida; Solanales; Solanaceae. The record is from RNAcentral.
CAAGUCCCCACCACCUCCAACUCCUGUUUACAAGUCGCCACCACCACCUAAGACGCCACACUACCCUCCACAUACCCCAGUUUAUAAGUCUCCUCCUCCACGCCAUCAUCACCCCGUUUACAAGUCUCCACCACCUCCAACUCCUGUUUACAAAUCACCACCACCACCCAAGGACCCACACUACCCUCCACACACCCCAAUUUACAAGUCACCACCACCACCCAAAGAACCACACUACCCACCACAUACCCCAGUGUACAAGUCUCCACCACCACCAACUCCAGUAUACAAGUCACCACCACCACCCAAGAGGCCAUACCAUCCUCCACCAACACCAUAUCAUCCCACACCAGUUUAUAAGUCUCCACCACCACCAACUCCAGUGUACAAGUCACCACCACCCCCAACUCCCGUUUACAAAUCACCACCACCACCAGUGAAGCCAUACCAUCCCGCACCAGUAUACAAGUCUCCACCACCCCCAACUCCCAUUUACAAAUCACCACCACCACCAGUGAAGCCAUACCAUCCUAAACCUGUGUACAAGUCUCCACCACCACCAGUGAAGCCAUAUCAUCCUACACCCGUCUACAAGUCUCCACCACCACCAACUCCCGUCUACAAGUCACCACCACCACCAGUGAAGCCAUACCAUCCUACACCCGUCUACAAGUCUCCACCACCACCAACUCCCGUCUACAAGUCGCCACCACCACCAGUGAAGCCAUACCAUCCUACACCCGUAUACAAGUCUCCACCACCACCAACUCCCGUUUACAAGUCACCACCACCACCAGUGAAGCCAUAUCAUCCCUCACCAACACCAUACCACCCUACACCAGUAUACAAGUCUCCACCACCACCAACUCCCGUUUACAAGUCCCCACCACCACCAGUAAAGCCAUACCACCCUUCACCAACACCAUACCAUCCUAAACCAGUAUACAAGUCUCCACCACCACCAACUCCAGUCUACAAGUCUCCACCACCAACCCACUAUGUUUACUCCUCUCCCCCUCCUCCCUACCAUUACUAAGAAGUGAGUUUACUAUAUCUGAGGUAAUUAAGAUGAACUUAAACCUUUACAAACAUAUAUAACUAAAAUGCAAUGCAAUAAUAAGUUGCACAAUUAUUUCUUCUCUUUUGGUUAGUUUCUUUUAUAUGUUCUCAUUCACAAUAUUAUAUUGUUAUGCAGGAAAAGCAUAAUGUUGAGCUGAAAGAAAGGCAUUUUCCAUUUUCAAGAAGAAAAUUAUAGUAAAUAAUAAGGCUUACAGAAGAUCAGACGAAGUUCUUUUGUAGCUUCAUGUUAUCUAACUUGUCUUAGUGAUAUAUUGUUUUUGUACUCUAUUUUUAUAUAUUACUUUUAUGUGUCUUUGUGUAUGUUUGCUCACUUUCAAUCUUCUUGCAAAAUGCAGAGAUUAAUUAUGAGAUUAUCAUGAAUAAAAUAAGUUAUUACUACUCCCAUAUGUUUUAAUUAACUUCUCAUCACAAUAUAUAUUACCUUUGUUUUCAUUUUAUCAUGUGCUCAUAUUUAAUUUAUAAAAUUAUAAUGUGAACACAACAUUUACAAUUUUUUUCAAAUAGAACUAUUUAUAUAUAUAUAUAUAUAUAUAUAUAUAUAUAUAUAUAUAUAUAACAGGAUGCUCAAAUUAAUAACCAACGAAUUUCAUGUACUUAUGGUUAUAAUUCAAUCAAAUUCGAGUAUUGUAGUCCAUUUACGAUAACAAAAUAAAAAAAUUAUUUAAUAAUCACAUAAUACGUUGUUAAACUUUUGUAAAGUAUAUGAUUUCAGAAGCUCAAACAAAAAAUUACAAUCCAAAUAUUUUAAAAAUAAUAGUUUAAAAUUUUCACGCAUCACAUAAAUAUAUAUACUUACUCCAAGCCUAUCCUAUCCGAAAUUUUCAGCUAUUGAUGUAGCCUCUUGUCGAUACUACUAGUCUUCUCGCUACCUACUAGAAAAAUUCCAUCAAAAUAGAUUGAAUCGACGACCUAUACUUCAACUAAAGGCACGAGGGCGUAGCGAGCUUAACUAUUAUCGUAAUAUAAGAUGAAAUCCACCCAUUUUGAUAUCACAUACACGUCUUUAAAACUGAUAAAAUAAUGAGGUCUACUCUUAGUCAAAAUUAAAUGAUUGUAGACCACAUCUACAGUUCCCAAUUGUCAACAAUUCGAUCCUCCGCGUUUGUGGUAGGUUUCACUUUCAUUUCUUCGGUUCGAUUUUAUCAAAUUUUAAUUUGAUUCUUUAAUUUUUAAUUUUGGAAAAAUGUGUAUGGAAUGUUGAAUCGAAUUAAUUUGUUUAAUUAUCUUUUUAAAAAAUUAGUUUAAAACAAAAAUUGAAUUUCAAUAAAAUUUAAUGAAAAAAUUAUUCAAAUUGAUUAGGUAACCUUUUAAGUCAAAUAUCAAUAGUUGAAUAAUUUUAUAGGUAAAAUAUUCAUAAUUGAGUGACUUUGAGAUCAUACAAGAAAAUUGAGUGACUUUAUAAGAGAAAAAAUCUUAGUUAAAAUAAUUUUUUAUGAGAAAAAAUUCUUAAGUAACUUUAUGGCAUUAUAAAAAAAAAUUAACUCCUCUUUAAAUUAGAAUUACAAAAUUAAAAGUAAGUUCCAUUUUAAAGAUAAGGACAUUAUUAGUAAAAAUAAUUGGUGAACAUUUUCCAAUGAAAAAAUAAUAUUUUUCUAAAAUAGCUAAUAGAUGAUAAUUCGUUUCUUAGGCGUAAAAAUGUUAGGACAUGUUAGCCUCACUCAGUUGAAUAAAUUGCUCACCAAGAACAUAAUCAUUGAAUAUCCUAAAACAAAGUUUAAAAAUGAAUUAAAAAAAAAAUCAGUAAUAAAAAAAUACAUGCAAACUAUCUACAAAUGUAUUAUUAUUAAUUUUUAAAUAAAAAAGAGUAAAUGAAAGAGAAUAGAAGAUCUUUGACUUGUUAAUUAAGACAAAUAUUUGUCUAAUAUAAGUAUGUCGGUAAUAACAAUGUAGACUAAGAUCUGUACUUGUUUAUAUAUCCAUAUCCCUUAAUGUUAGGACCAUUAAAAUUAUUAAUUUAGUUUAACUAAUUAAUGGGAUCUUAUAAAUACAUUAAUAAUAUUACUGUUGUCGGUGAUUAAGUUAAUGCUAAUACUUAAUUGUUUUUUUUUUCCAAUUAAAAUGUCAAAGUCGUUAGAUGAACCAAAAUGGAAUCGUCCAUGAAGAUGGUACCAGAGUACAAUUAUUGAAUAAUAUCUUUUUUUUUUAACUUCAAAAAUUAAAGUGGAAUUCAAUUACCUACUUUAUAAAUGUAUGGCAACUUGGCAAUAAUUCAUUAAAUUUCAGGAAGAACAAAAACCAUCGAUAAUUGAGAUUAAUUUAAGAGAUAAAUGUCAAAAACACAUUUAAUAUAUUACAUAUUUUAAAAAAAUUCAUACUUCACCCCGUCUCUUUUCGAAAAAAUUGAUAUUAUUUUAUUUUUUUAAAAAUAGGAAUUCUAUCCAUCCUAUAUAACCUCCUGUACCUAAUUUUUUUAUAUAUAUUUUUGUGAGUUUGUAUUAGAUAUGUACAUAUAUUUUUAGGAAUUCUUUCUACUUGUGUACCAAAUAUAAAGUAAAUAAAACAUUUAUUUUUUAAAAAAGUCUUGAGGCCGUGGCAAAUAAAAAUUAUUUUCAAUAUGUUUAUAUCUAACACAAAAGGAGAAAAAGUUCGAAAGCGGACGGUUAGGUGGGGUAGGUAUAUUUUUUUUAAAGCAAAUUAGUAUAUAUAUUUUUUUGUGUGUGUGGGGUUGGGGGGGGGGGGGGGGUAAAAAAAAGUUAAAUACCUUUACAAAAGAAAUUUAAACAAAAAAAACUAAAAAAAAAAAGGGUGGGGGGAGGGUUGGACGGUUAGAGAAAGUGAUGGAGUGGGUAGGGAGGCGAGCAAAAUUGGGAGGGAGACGAGCAAACUUUGUACGUAUCGUAACCCAGAACAUGUGAAUCAAGCAAGAUACACACUAGGUACAUGUAUUUGUACGUGUCUAGAGGAAUUCACAUAUAUCUGGGAUAUCAUAUUCUUGGAAGAAUGACGAGCAAAAUGGAACAGAGGCAAGGAAGGAAAACGAGAUAUACUAUGUAUCCCAAAUACAUGCGAAUUCAAUAAAUAUAAUGUAUCUAGAACAAAUUACACCUAAAUUUGAUCGAGAUAUUCGAGAUACAUGUAUCUCAAGGCACCAAAAUCUGAUUUUUAUAUAUAUAUAUAUAUAUAUGAAAGUUUAUGUGAUCGAUAAAACUAAUAGCUUAGUAUUUCAAUGGUAUCAUUUCUACACAAAAUAGUUCUACCUCAAUUUAUGACAAAAAUGAUUUUAUUUAUAUGAGAUCAAAUUUAUAGGGUUUCGAUGACCAUGAUAAAACAGGAGAAUGUACAAAAAUACUUAAGUCCUUGUUUAUAAUAUACCAUUUUGCCAAAAUAUUUGUAGCUCGAUUAACUUUCUUAUAGAAAUGUUGAACCUUUCAAAUAAUAGUGCUUGAUAUAAUGAUAUAUUGUAAAUAUGAAAAGUGAUGUUUUUCAUUUUCCAAAGAAUACCACUAAAAUAGUUCUUUCUAACAUCAUGUAUAAAUUUUUAUGCAAGUAAAACAUUUUAAAUAAUAAUCUACGAAACUUGUUAUUUGAUCCUCAUAGAUAUUAUAACAUUUAGUUUUAGUGCUUAUGAAAAUAAUUUUGUUAGAACAAUAUUUCCAUUAUACGUAUAAAAAGUUCACAUUGUUCUUUGUUUUUAAAGAUACAAUAUCCUAAUUAUUUCAUUGUUAUUCCAUCUCUAUUAUUCAUUGAGCAUAAUUUGAAUAAUUUAUUUUUAUCAUAUUAUUACCAAUAUAAUCAUAGAAAGUCAAAUAAGAAAACUAAUUUUCCUUGUUACUAUUUCUUUGAUUAAUUGGAAUUAGAGACGACUAGUUAUUAUUAUGAGCAACUUUCACAUAUAGCAAACAAAAAAUUUAUAUUUGUAUGCUAAUUAAGCUCCAUAGCAAACAUAAAACUGUAUAAUUUGCUAUACAUAUACAAUUGUAUAAUUCGCUGGCCUAUUUCGCUGCAAUAGUAUAAUUUGUUUUGCAUACAGUUGAAUCGAAUUAAAAUGUAUGUAUAUUGCAUAAUUAUAAGUGUAUAGCAAGAAGAUAUAUGUUUUUCUCGCUUUAUACAAAAACAGAAACACAAUAUAUACACUUUUGUUGUAUAAAGCUAGAGAAAAUUGUAUUUCACUGCAAUUGUAUAAUUCGCAAUUGUAUAAUUCGUUGGCCUUUUUCUCUGCAAUAUUUGAAGUAAAAUGUUUGCAAAUUGUGUAAUUAAGUGUAUAACAUGAAGAUAUACAUUUUUGCAUGUGUAUAUACAAUUUUCUCUCGCUUUAUACAAAACAGAAACAGAAUUAUACACUUCUGUGUAUAAAGCGGGAGAGGCGAGCGAGAAUGGAGAGUGGCGAGCGAGAUUUUUGGGAGAGAGACGCUGGCAAAUUUUAGCUAAUGUUUGCUAUGGAGCAAAAUUAAAUCAAAUCCUAGCUAUUCCAUUUAAUUUAGGUUAUUAGUUUGCUAUUAUAUACAAUUUUUUCUAUUAUUAUUAAUCGGAUGCAUUUCACUCCGCACAUAAAUAACUUCCAAUAAUUUAAUAUUAAUUAUAUAUGCUCUAUUAAAUAAUUUUUAAAUAUAAAAUAAUAUUAUGGUAGAUUUGGGGGUGUCAAAAUCAAGUCAAUUUGUCAAACUCCCCUAUUCCAUUUAAUUUAUCAACUUUAACUCAUCUCAACCUAAUUUAGUUUAAUUCAUAUUUAAACAGUGAAUUGAUAUAUAAUUCAAAUUAGCUUAUCAAAAUAUUUUUAAAAUAAUAUUUUUAAAAUUUGAUAUGUUAUAUAUAGUCGUAAUAAAGAAAAAAAUAAACUUAUUAGGUGCUAAAAAAUUUUAAAAAGAGCAAACUAAACAACUAAAUUUUAGUAAAAAUUGAAGGGGUUAUAUUAGAAAUCGAAUUUAACUUAAUUAUGUCCAAUUCAUUUCAAUUCAAAUAGACAAUAGCUAAUGAUCCAUUCAUUUGUUAACUCAUUAAAAUUCAAUCGGUUCAAAUUCAGGUCAACUCUCCUAUACCAAACUUCUAGUAGAUCUUAAUCAAUAAAAAUUUGGACACGAAAACAAUUCAUUCAUUUCAUCCAUCAAAUUAUUAAUAAGUGACACCAUCUUAGCGACCCAGUUCAUUGUAUUAUAUUAAGAAAAAAUAACUUAAAUACACAAUUAUAAGUUUUAUAUUUUCUAAUUUUCCCUUCUUUUUUUUAAAUAUUACAUAAUUUCCUUUUUUUAAAAUUUUAGUGUAAGUUUAUAGAUACAUUACAUUCUCUCUCCUAUAGUACACAAUUACCCAUUUUAAUGCCUAUUUAUUCUCCAUUAAAACACUCAACCUUUUAAAUAAAAGACCUAAUUUUGAAUUUCAAAAUUCAAAAAAUUUCAAAUUUCAAAAAUCAGGUUCUCCCGUUUUUCUUACUCCAUCAAGUUUCACUUCCUUUUUUUCCAUAAUCAUCUUCCUUCUUCUUAACCUAGCAGAAUUUAUUGGUUUCUUCUUUUUAUUCUUAAUCCAUCAUCUUUUUCUUCUUAAUCUGUAAUCGUCUUAACCCAAUAUCUUUUUAUUAUUAAUCCAUCAUCAGUUCGUCUUUUCUUCUCUUUUUUCUUUUUGUUAAUUGUUCUAUUACAUUAUAGUAAUGGAUCCGUUAAUUAAUAGAAGGAUAUAUGAUUCCGACGAUGAAAAUUGGAAAGAAAAUAGGAAAAAGUUUUUGCAUGAUCCUAUGAAUCUUCAGAAGGAUUCAAACAAAGACUCUGGCGAAACAUCAAAAUCAAAGGUUAUCAAAAUACAACAAAAAAAGAAAAAAGAAGCAGCAAACAUUGUUGUUAGGCCUACAUUGUCUCGGGUUAGUAUUUUGGUACUUAAAACUGUUGUUGAAAUUAGUAAAAAUUUUAAGGAAUCUAGUGUGCUUGCCGAUACAUUUGAAUAAGUGUGUAUAGUGUUUUAGAGGUGAAUUGAUACAUGAAUUUAUUGUGUAUCAUAAUAUUUUAUAUGUAUCAUGAAGUUUUGAAAAUUGUUAUAAUGUAUCAUUCAAUAAGUUUAGUAAAUACGUCAUCAACUGUGCUUGAUGAUACAUAUAGAAUCAGUGUGUACGGUGUUUAGUCAAUUCACUGAUACAUGUAGGAGAUAUGUAUCACAUGUUUUGCAUAUAGUAUGAAUUUCUGAAAACUGAUAUCAUGUAUCAGUAAGGUAUUAGUUGUUUAGUUGAUGUACUGAUACAUGUUUGAAAAUUGUUAUAAUGUAUCAUUCACUAAGUUUAAUAAAUGCGUCAUCAACUGUACUUGAUGAUACAUAUAGAAUCAGUGUGUAUAUUGUUUAGUCGAUGUUUCUGAUACAUGCAUUAGAUACGAAAUUGAAUCUCCAACAACGAUUCCGUCGAUUUUGUAACUUUCAUACUGCAAUUCGUUCACCUAAAUUCCGGAAUGUCUCAUCAAAAUCGAAGUAUUCAUCUUGAAAAAUCCACUGUAACAACAAUAAAAUUACUGUAGUUCGAAAUUUAACAGAUUGUUCAAAAAAAUUGUUUUCAAAAUAGAUGACAUAAUCUUUGUUUUUCAAAAUUUGAAAUUAAUAUCCAAUUAAGUGCUUAUUUUAUGCUGAUUAAUGAUAUGUUACCGUAAAUUUAGCUGUUUUAUUAACAACAUUAACUGUACCGUUUUCCCCCUUUUUUUUCUCAACAGUUUAAAAUUACCAUGUAUCAUUUACCUUGUAUCACGAGAGUCUAAAGUAUCACGGCUCAACAAAUUUAAGAGAUUUUUUGUAAAUACUAAAUUUGUCUGGACAAAAUGAAAUUAUUGAAUUACACUAUAGGAUUCCUUAAAUUUUUACUUAUAUUAAUCUUUAGUAUGGGGACCUAAAUAUUUAACUUUCCAAUUCCUUUAGGGGUCAAUUUGAUUGAUUAUAAUGAGUGAAUUAUACUAUAAAAAUUGAAAUAAUAAUUAAUGUUUGUAGAGCAUAUUAAAUUAUUUUAUCAUGACUACAGUUGGUGUUAAUUGAAUUGGAAAUAAGAUAUAUACGGUAUAUAAUAUAUAUAGAAAUUUUAAUUUGAUUCGUUGAUUUUGUAUUUUCAGACAAAUUUUAUUUUUAAUUUUACCUUUCUUAAAGAACUUUUAGUUUGGUUGUUUUAUCAUGGAAUUAGCUAAUUAUUAAUCUAGAGAAUUGCUAUUCCAUAUACAACUUUGGUACAAUUAGAGAAUUAUAAUAUAAUUAAUUUCAAAAUUACUUAUAUUUAGGAACAAAAGUUUCAAUCAAACGAUAAAUAAUUGAAUAUUUUAUCUCAGAAUUAGUAUUAUUAUUAUUAAUACUAAUUAACGAUCCUAAGUUUCGAUUUUGUCACUCCGGUCCUUUUCUUUUAAUCUUUUCACAAACCAACUACAUUUGAUUGCAUUAACUAUAAAGUCCAUUUGCAUUAUUUUACAUAUCAAUUAAUAUUACUAAACUAAAUUUAUCUAUAAUUACUGAUUUAAAUGUAUACCUAUUUUCUCACCAACAUGGCAUAUAUAUUAGACUCAUUAAAAUUAAACGUUGCUUCAUGUGGUGUGUUCAAUUGGUUAGACUAUCUCGUCAAAUAUAUUGUUCGCAAAUAAACAAUGCUCAAAUGAAUGAUAUUAAUGUUGUUGGUGAAUAUUACAAGCUUCUCGUAACGUUUUGUUAGCUUACGUAUGAAUGUGCAAUAUUAUUUCUACUUAUUUUGUCAAACACUAAAAAAGUAAGUAAAAAACUUGUUUAUGUGAGAUAAUAUUUUUCUUUGUACCUAAAAAGUGCAUUAAUUUAUAUAGCUAAAAUAGUGCAAAGUUGAGGCCUCCACGCAUUAUUUUUGGUGAGAAGAAGAAUGAGAAGACUUUCUAUCUCUUUGAAUUAUUGCAUCACAAACAGUAUAGCUGCCUUAAUAGUUUAUUCAUUUGCUUAGCUUAAUGCCUCUAUCCAUCAAAUUAAAUAUACAACUAACAAGACAAAACCAAAUGAAAAUGCAUAACUCUAGGAUUUUACCUACAUUUGUAUAAAUUUUGGUAAGGGUAUCUGUCUAAAUGAAAACUAUAUAAAGGGGUUUGAGUGAAGCUUAAGAUGACAACAACUUUCUCCUUUGUUUCGAAUAUGGGGAAAAUGGCCUUUCUAGUUGCCACCCUUUUAGUGGUUUUAGUGUCACUUAGCUUAGCAUCUGAAAUUUCAGCUAAUUAUCAAUACUCAUCUCCCCCACCACCAAAGGAGCCAUACCACCCUUCACCAACACCAUAUCAUCCCACACCAGUUUACAAUUCUCCACCACCACCAAAAGAGCCAUACUACCCUCCACACACUCCAGUGUACAAGUCGCCACCACCCUCGACACCUAUUUACAAGUCGCCACCACCACCCAAAGAGCCAUACUACCCUCCACACACCCCUGCCUACAAGUCACCACCUCCACCAACUCCAGUUUACAGGUCGCCACCACCUCCCAAGGAGCCAUACUAUCCUCCACACACACCAACCUACAAGUCGCCACCUCCACCAACUCCCGUUUACAAGUCACCACCACCUCCAAAGGAACCAUACUACCCUCCACAUGCACCAACCUACAAGUCGCCACCACCUCCCAAGGAGCCAUACUACCCUCCCCACACCCCAACCUACAAGUCCUCACCUCCACCAACUCCGUUUUACAAUUCACCACCACCUCCCAAGGAACCAUACUACCCUCCUCACACACCAACCUACAAGUCGCCACCCCCACACAAGGAUCCAUACUACCCUCCACACACACCAACCUAUAAGUCACCACCUCUACCAACUCCUGUUUACAAGUUGCCACAACCACCCAAGGAGCCAUAUUACCCUCCACACACACCAACCUACAAGUCACCACCUCCACCAACUCCCAUUUACAAGUCACCACCACCUCCCAAGGAGCCAUACUACCCUCCACACACACCAACCUACAAGUUACCACCUCCACCAACUCCCGUUUAUAAGUCGUCGCCACCACCAUCCAAAGAGCCAUACUACCCUCCACACACACCAACCUACAAGUCACCACCUCCACCACCUCCCGUUUAUAAGUCUCCACCACCACCCAAGGAGCCAUACUACCCUCCACACACACCGACCUACAAGUCACCACCUCCACCAACUCCCGUUUACAAGUCCCCACCACCUCCUAAGGAGCCAUACUACCCUCCACACACACCGACCUACAAGUCACCACCUCCACCAACUCCCGUUUACAAGUCCCCACCACCUCCUAAGGAGCCAUACUACCCUCCACACACACCAACCUACAAGUCACAACCUCCACUAACUCCCGUUUAUAAGUCGUCGCCACCACCACCCAAGGAGCCAUACUACCCUCCACACACACUAACCUACAAGUCACCACCUCCACCAACUCCUGUUUAUAAGUCGCCACCACCACCCAAGGAUCCAUACUACCCUCCAAACACCCCAACUUACAAGUCGCCACCUCCACCAACUCUCAUUUACAAGGUUCCACCACCAGCCAAGGAGCCAUACUACCCUCCACACACACCGACCUACAAGUCACCACCUCCACCGACUCCCCUUUAUAAGUCCCCACCACCUCCUAAGGAGCCAUACUACCCUCCACACACACCAACCUACAAGUCACCACCUCCACCAACUCCCGUUUAUAAGUCGUCGCCACCACUACCCAAGGAGCCAUACUACCCUUCACACACACCAACCUACAAGUCACCACCUCCACCAACUCCCGUUUAUAAGUCUCCACCACCAACCAAGGAUCCAUACUACCCUCCACACGCCCCAACCUACAAGUCGCCACCUCCACCACCUCCCACUUACAAGUCGCCACCACCACCAAAGGAGCCAUACUACCCUCCACACACACCAACCUACAAGUCAUCACCUCCACCAACUCUCAUUUAUAAGUUGUUGCCACCACCACCCAAAGAGCCGUACUACCCUCCACACACACCAACCUACAAGUCACCACGUCCACCAACUCCCAUUUAUAAGUCGUCGCCGCCGCCACCCAAGGAGCCAUACUACCCUCCACACACACCAACCUACAAGUCACCACCUCCACCAACUCCCGUUUAUAAGUCGCCACCACCACCCAAGGAUCCAUACUACCCUCCACACACCCCAACCUACAAGUCGCCACCUCCACCAACUCCCGUUUACAAGUCGCCACCACCACCCAAGGAGCCAUACUACCCUCCUCACACACCAACCUAUAAGUCACCACCUCCACCAAGUCCCGUUUACAAGUCGCCACCACCACCCAAGGAUCCAUACUAUCCUCCACACACCCCAACCUACAAGUCGCCACCUCCACCAACUCCCGUUUACAAGUCGCCACCACCACCCAAGGAGCCAUACUACCCUCCUCACACACCAACCUAUAAGUCACCACCUCCACCAAGUCCCGUUUACAAGUCGCCACCACCACCCAAGGAGCCAGACUACCCUCCACACACCCCAUCCUACAAGUUACCACCUCCACCAAUUCCCAUUUACAAGUCGCCACCACCACCAACUCCUGCCUACAACUCUCCUCCACCACCUUACUAUCUUUACACCUCUCCCCCUCCUCCCUACCAUUACUAAAAAGCCACUUCAUUAUAUCGAGGUAAUUAAGACAAACUAAAACUAUUACUAAUGAUGUGUCUAAAAUGCAAAGCAAUAAGUUGCUCAAUUUCCUCAUGCAAAUCAUUAAUAUAUAGACCUAUGCAGUCUAUAUUCUUAUUUGGAUAACUUUAAUUACAUGUUCUCAUUCACAAAAUUAUAUUCUUAUGCAGGAAAAGCAAAAUGUUGAGCUUAAAGAAAGGCAUUUUACAUUUUCGAGAGACGAUGAAAAAAGAAGAAAACUAUAGUAAAUAAUAAGCCCCACAUAAGUCGAAGUUCUUUUGUAGCUUCAUGUUAUCUAAGCUAGUGAUACUGUUUGUACUCUAUUAUUUAUAUUUGUAUUUUUACUUUUAUGUCUUUCUGUAUGUUUGCUCAGUUUUAAUAUCCUAGCAAAAUGCAAAGAUUAAUUAUGAGAUGAAUAAAAUAAGUUAUUACUAUUAUACAGUUUUAUGUUUUCCUUCUCUCUGAUCUAUUCGAUCUUAAUUAGUCCUUUUUUUGGUCUUAUUUCUUCAUCUUUAUAUCGAAGGCGAGGCUCAACGAUUACAUUAAAUCAAUCAUCAUACAGAUAAAAUUGAUGACAAAUUUAACGUUAAGAUAUCAUCAAAAUCUCAAUAACAAUUUACAGAUCGAAAUCUUAGUAUCGAUUGAUUAAUAACCUAAACUUUCGCCAUGAAGACUUGAAUCCCUAAUCCCGUCCUUCAUUUCCCAUAUCUCUACCCACACAUUAUCUUUUAAGAAAGAAGAAGUAACAACCAAAAUAAACAUUAUAUCUAAAGUGAUAAUAUGAUAACAAUACAAAUAGGCAACAAUACAAUUAAAGAAAAAAAAAAAAGUUACUCCCACGAUGUCAACACGUAUGCUAGACUGACCAAUAAAGUUAGACAAAUUUCAAAAUUGACAAUAGCAAAGUAUACGUACGUAGCAUAUAGCAACCAAUCAAUGAAUAAAUUAUUCCUAAAGUAGUCAUUAUCAUCUCAUAUACUAUAUUUGGUAAAAUACUAAGAUUAAGUCAACAUAAUUCAGUCUACCGUUUGGUAAUUUAUAACAAAUAGUGACAAUAUUAAUAAAGUGAUUGGUGCUCUCUUUUGGCCCACCCCCAAGAAGAUCGUGAACGCAUAUUUUAAAUUUGAUUUGAUUACCACUUUUUAAUAUCUUUAAAAUAAAACUUGUAUAUUUAAAAAAUUAAAAAUUAUUAUUAUUAUUUAAUUAUAUAAAUAAAAUAUUUUAAAAUACAUUAGUAUCUUAAUAGAGAAAAGAUUAAAAAAUUAAAAAUUAUUAUUAUUAUUUAAUUAUAUAAAUAAAAUAUUUUAAAAUACAUUAGUAUCUUAAUAGAGAAAAGAUUGUUUGUUUGAUUUUCUAAAGUAACAGAGUCGGAUGAGAUAGUUGAUUAAUUUGACGGUUUGAAUAAUAUAAUCUUCUUGAUAAAUAAUCAUCAACCCAUCAUGCAUGUUUUAUAUUUAUUGAUAGAAACUUUGAUGGAUUGAUUUGUUGGUGCCGCCUCAACAUAGAGAAAAGAAAAAGAACAAGUUAUUUCAAUCUAUUACACUUUAGAGAUUAAAAAAAACAUUUUUUAAAGCAGUGAUAAAAUUGAUAAUAAUAAGUUGUUAAUAUGUUUGGCAAAAAGAGUGUCGAUUAACUAUUUUUUGCUAUAGUAUUGAAAUAUCUUUAGAUUUUUUAACCCCCAAAAAAGGUUUAAAACUACCUCUGUAAAGAAAAGGAGUUUAUUUUUAGAAAAUAUAUCUCGAGAAAUAAAGUAAGAUAAAGGAUAAAAUCGUGAAAGAAAAAUGUUGAUAAGCAAACAAAAAAAUCAAAGUUAGGAAUGACCAAUUUAUUGAAUAUAACUAAAUUGUCUUAAAUAAGCAACUUAGCUUAUAAAUAUAUAUAUAAAAUUAUUUUUAUAUCAGUUUGAUCAAUUAAUAAUAAAUUGAUUAUGCAUGAAAUAAUAGGAAGUGUUCUAAUUAAAAAGAAUACAAGGAAAAAGGUGCAGUAUUGUGUACGAUCGACCAAACAUACAUUCGUUAUUAAUUAUUAUUAAGCUAAUUAGACAACGCUAUCUUAUUAAUUUAUUAUAGAGCUGUCGAUAUUAGUUUAGAUAAUUAAAUUAUAUAAAAUUCAUUUAAUUCAAUCAAAGCUUGACUUGUUAAAUGUUAGGUUUAUGAUAUGAUUAAUUAUAUAUAUAAUUCACUAUGAUUUUACGCGACUUGUUAAUCAAGACCUUAUUUAACAUAUUGAUUAAGUUAUUAGUUAUAUAACUAAUAAAAAUAUAUUUUAAAUAAUAAAUGGUUAUUGAGAGAAAACUUCCAUGCAAUUAUCAUAAUAAGAAACUUCUUAAGAAAUUGUCUCUAAUUAGAUAAUUGGAUGGUGACUCUUUUGUUUAAAAAAAAUUGAAUCAAUCAAGAUUUUAUUGCUAUUAAUUGUGAACUACAAUUUGUAGAAGGGGAGCAUAAACCUAGAUAUUAACUAUGCACAACAUGAGUGUGCAAGAUUAUUUUGUUUAUUUAUUUUGAUUCAAUUCAGUAUCCGAUAUUCAUAUUAGAUUCUCAAUCAAAUUUGUAUUUACAUUAAAAAAAUUCAGUGCUCCUUAACAGAGGCAACAACUCUGUACUCAGGAGAACUCGAAUUCGAGACCUCUAAACAAGAAUAAAGAAGUAUUUGUUAUUCCAUAACAAUUUUUAUUGAUAAAAGAAACUCGUAGUAUCAUGAAAAGAUAAUAGAUUAUCUAGGCCUAAUGGAAAAUUCAGUCAAGCUUUAGAGGGAAAAUUAUGGCAUAGCAAAGUUACAAACUUUAUAGUAUGAUUAACUUAAUUACAAGACCGUUAAAUUGAAUGCAACCCCAAUAACUUUUCUUUCAAUAAAUAUUUGGCCUUUGUGAGCUUUAUUUGAACUCUCUCUUCCUUCAUAAACUUGACCAUCAGCAAUAUUUUCCUUUCCUCUUUUAUUUUAUUGCUCACUCGAUAGUCAGCUUUUAAGAUUGACUUGAUGUUUCGAUAAGCGAAAGGUGUAAAUCCAGAUUAUGCUCAAGUAUCUAAGUGAUAUAUGAAUUGCAAACUUUUUGCAUAUGCAUUUGAGAAGAAAAUAAUUAUCACAAGAAAAUAAAUAAUUAGCAUGCGGUAAAUUAUUAACGUAGUUAAAUAAUGUUAUAGUCUUAUAAAUUAAAAUAAAGACAAGGCAACAAUUGUCACUAAUUAUUUGUAUUGUUAGCAACAAAAACUAAGAGAACAUAAAUAAUAUAUACUUAAUGGCUCAAUUUUACACCAUUUCACUAUAAAUAACUUUAUGUCGCUAAUUUGAUUACAUAUUUUUGUGACGAAACUUAUUUUGUAUCCAAACUUAAACGAAUUUAAAGAUAAAUAUGAUUUAUCAUAAAUAUUCAGUAAAAACAGGGAGAAAAUUUAUCAUCAUCAAUAUCCUCAAUUUCGUCGCUAAAAUUACCUUACAAUUUGAUUUAAUUAUAAAUUGAAAAUCAAAUUUAAAAAUGAUUAAAUUUGUGAUGUUGGUGCAAAAUGCACGUAUCAAAUUAAACCCACCUUUAGGUCUAAGAAAAUGGUGAGCACAUCUUAACCAUUAUUCUUCAACUCAUUUCAUCUCUUCCUCAAUUAAUUAUGCAAAUAAUAAAAAUAUUUCUUUUUCCAUUCAAUGUCUGUGUUUUAUAUUGAAGUUCCAAUUAACUCUAGAUUAGAAACCGGAGGCGAGGGCACAUUUAAAGGUGAUGCUUCCUAUACGACUCAUGUAGUAAAAAAAAUUAUAAAAAAAACCACCACAAUAAUUAUAUACGCUUCAAAAAAAAGAAGAGAAUAGAAUAGCAUCCUAUUCAUAGAGAAAACUAUACUUGAUAGUUAACUGGUAGCAAAACUUUUGCACAAGAUUAAUUAUAUUUGUAUAGUUGAUUUAUUCAAGGUUUUAAUUAGAAGAGGUCUAGGAUUCUAUUUAUUUUUAUCCAUAUUUUUUAAACAAUAAAUUUGCUACAAAAGGAUGUCUGUGACAAAUCAUGUCUCCUAAAUAUAAGCACUUGUGUGAAGGUUAGUUGAGUGUAAAGUUGAGGCAUCCACGCAUUUUUUUUUUCAAAGGUUCUGUAAAAAGAAAACAAGAUUUUGUAGCUCUUUGAAUCAUUCUGUCACAAACAGUAUAGUUCCCUUAAUAGUUUAUACAUUUGCUUAGGAUGAUGCCUCUAUAUAUCUAUCAAAUUAAAUAUACAAACUAAAGUCAAAAUUGAGCCAACAACAUGUCAAGACUAAAUAAACAUAUGCAUAACUCUACCAUAUUACCUACAUUUGUAUAAAUUUUGGUAAGGGUAAUUUCUAAAUGAAGUCUAUAUAAAGGGGUUUGGGUGAAGCUUAAGAGGACAAAAACUUCUCUCCUUUGUUUCAAAUAUAGGGAAAAUGGCCUCUCUAGUUGCAACUCUUUUAGUGGUUUUAGUGUCACUUAGCUUACCAUCCGAAAGUUCAGCUAAUUAUCAAUACACAUCUCCCCCACCACCAAAGGAGUCAUACCACCCUUCACCAACACCUUAUCAUCCCGUACCACUUUACAAGUCUCCACCACUGCCAACUCCAGUUUACAAUUUUCCACCACCACCCAGAGAGACGUACUACCCUCCACACACUCCAGUGUACAUGCCGUCACCACCCUCGACACAAAUUUACAAGUCGCCACCACCACCCAAGGAGCCAUAUUACCCUCCACACACCCCAACCUACAAGUCGCCACCUCCACCAACUCCUAUUUACAAGUCUCCACCGCCGCCAACUCCCUUUUACAAUUCUCCACCACCACCCAAGGAGCCAUACUACACUUCGCCACCUCCACCAACUCCUACUUACAAGUACCCACCGCCACCAACUCCGGUUUACAAUUCUCCACCACCACCUAAGGAGCCAUACUACCCUCCACACACCCCAACCUACAAGUCGCCACCUCCACCAACUCCUGCUUACAAGUCUCUACCGCCGCCAAUUCCAGUUCACAAUUCUCCACCAUCACCCAAGGAGCCAUACUACCCUCCACACACCCCAACCUACAAGUCGCCACCUCCACCAACUCCUGCUUACAAGUCUCUACCGCUGCCAAUUCCAGUUCACAAUUCUCCACCAUCACCCAAGGAGCCAUACAACCCUCCACACACCCCAACCUACAAGUCGCCACCUCCACCAACUCUUGCUUACAAGUCUCCACCGCCACCAACUCCGAUUUACAAUUCUCCACCACCACCCAAGGAGCCAUACUACCCUCCACAUACCCCAACCUACAAGUCGCCACCUCCACCAACUCCCAUUUACAAGUCGCCACCGUCACCAACUCCGGUUUACGAUUCUCCACCACCACCCAAGGAGCUAUACUACCCUCCACACACCUCAACCUACAAGUCGCCACCACCACCGAAUGAGCCAUACUACCCUCCACACACACCAACAUACAAGUCGCCACCUCCACCAAUUCCAAUCUACAAGUCACCACCUCUUCCAACUCCUAUUUACAAGUCGCCACCACCACCCAAGGAGCCAUACUACCCUCCACAUACUCCACUUUCACCGUCUUCAGUUUAUAAGUCUCCACCUCCACCAACUCAUGUUUACAAGUCGCCGCCACCACCUAUAGAGCCAUACUACCCUCCACACACCCCAAUCUAUAAGUCGCCACCUCCACCGAUUCCUGUUUACAAUUCACCACCUCCACUAACUCCAGUUUAUAAGUCACCACCACCACCCAAAGAGCCUCACUACCCUCCACACACCCCAGUGUAUAAGUCACCACCACCACCCAAGGAGCCAUACUAUUCUCCACAAAAUCCAGUCUACAAGUCGCCACCUCCACCAACUCCCAGUUACAAGUCGCCAACACCACCCAAGGAGCCAUAUUAUCCUCCACAUACCCCAACUUACAAGUCACCACCUCCACCAACUCCAGUAUACAAGUCGCCGCCACCACCCAAGGAGCCAUACUACCCUCCACACACCCCGACCUACAAGUCGCCACCACCACCGAAGGAGUCAUACUAUCCUCCACACACCCCAACCUACAAGUCACCACCUCCACCAACUCCUGUUUCCAGCUCUCCACCACCACCAACUCCAGUCUACAAGUUUCCACCACCAACAGAUUAUGUUUACACCUCUCCCCCUCCUCCCUACUAUUACUAAGAAGAGAUUUCAUUAUAUCUAAGGUAAUUAAACCAAACUAAAACUUUUAAUUAUGAUAUGUCUAUAGAAGUUGCACAAUUUCUUCGUUCGAAUAAUUAAUAUAGACCUGUAUACUGUCUACAUCUUAUUUGGUUUAGGUUCUAUUAUAUGUUCUCAUUCACAAUACUAAUUAUAUUCUUAUGCAGGAAAGAUGCAGAAUGUUGAGCUAAAAGAAAAUAAGCCCACACAGGAGGCAAAGUUUUUUUGUAGCUUCAUUUUGUAUAAGUUAUUGUUUGUACCCUAUAUUAUAUUUAUAUUUUACUUCUAUUUAUUUGUGUAAUAUGUUUGUUCGAUCUCCUUGCAACAUGCAGCCAUUAUGAGAUGUAUAAAAUAUGUUAUUACUAUAUAUACUGUCUUUUUUCUUAUUUUUGUCAUCCCUUAUAUUGAGUUAUAUUUAUAAGUUGAGCCUCUUAUCAAUUACAUUAAAUCAGUUGCUAUAAAAAAUGUGGUUUUUCACCACCAAUAAGUUCAACGAUAAGCUACAAUCAACUGGGAAUAUUAGUAGCUUCAAUAGAAAAUGUUAAUAGCUCCGUUGAUUAGUUAUUUGAACUUUUUAUCUUUAUUACACGUCGCAAUAACAAUCAAUGUAAAUAUUAUAUCUAACCUCUGGACUUAUGCCCACAUAAUUCCUCAAUGCACCCACACAAAAUAUUGAAAUUAAAUAUUAUUACUUGCCUAUUUCUCUUAUCUUGAUUAUUAGUUUUCAGGGAUGAAAGUUUAAUUGUUACACCUUUCACUUUUUUAAAAAAAAAAAAAAGGAAUGGACAACCAACUGAUUUCGUAUCUGAUUGUAGUUGUUGAAGGCAUAUUGUAAUAAUUAAAUUUUCGUUUUUGAAAAAUAAUAAUCAAAAAAUAGAAAAUAUCAAUAAAUAAUAAUAUUUAAUUUUAUUUAUUUGUGCACGAUUUAACAAUCAUUAGAGAUUUCACACUAAAAUGUUUAAUUUUUUUGUUUUUUCUUUUUUUCUCUUCAUGACUAUCAACUCAAAAGUUUUGCUUUUUACCUGAAUUGAUGGAAUACUUGUUGAAAGUUUACCACGAAUGCAUAAUCAAUUUUUAAUCACAUUCGAGGAGGCAUAAAACGACUCACAACUUGAAGGCAAAAAAGAGUUGUAUGCAGAAGACUGCAAAUCAUUAUUGAAUAUUUUUUUAUAUAGGCAUCAGCUAGGGUUUGAAAUAUUUGAUCUAAUCGACUUUAGGUUUGAGAAUAUGAGUUGUGUUGGAUUAGACUUGUAAAUUUAAUAAUGGACUAACCUAAAUUUAAUCGAAAAAUUACCUAACUACAUAUAUAUUUUUUUAUCCUAUUUUCUAUUAUUUCAUAUAAUUUAUAAAAAUUACAAAAAUCUUUUUUUUCUCUCAAAUUCGCUCCUUUCAAGAUUCAUAACUUUAAAUCUUCCAACUCACAAUUUCUCCUUUUUCUCAGGCCUAUAAUCGCUCUACUAUAUUACUAGUUACCUUCAUCUCCUAUAUUUUGAAUUUUAGAUAUUUUUCUCUCUCCCGUUUAUAAUUUAAUUGAGUAUGUAUCAUAUGUUUGUUAUGUAUGUGAAGUACUAUUUUAUAACUAAAUCAUUGUUUAUCAUAUUCAUAAGUUUUUUUUAUAUGAUACAUAGCUAUGUCAAAUUAUACCGGCAUGAUACAUAAAUACUAAUUUAUGCUACAUGUAACGAUCUCAAAUCAAACAACUUAUGAGCAACAAUUACAUGUUAAAUGUAUCCCGUAACAAUACGAUACUUAUUAAUUUAAACGAGAUAAAUAAAUAGUAAUGUAUCAUGUAUUAGUUUUUAGAUGUGAUACAUAAAUUCGAAUUUGGACUACAUGUAUUAAUUACAUAGAAACUACCACGCGGUGAUGUAUCCAUCACAAAUGUAACAUCUUAUGGGCAACAAUUACUUAUUUAAUGUAUCUACUAUAAAUACAAUACUAAUCAAUUGAGACGAGAUACACAAAUAGUAAUGUAUCAUGCAAAAAAAUUUUUUACUUGAUAUGUGAAUUCGAAUUUAUACUAAAUGUAUCAAUUACAUAGCAACUACCACAUUGUAAUGUAUCGAUCUCGAAUUCAACAUCUUAUGGACUAUAAUUAUUUAUUUAGUGUAUUUAGUAUAAAUACAAUACUUAUCAAUUUAAACAAGAUACAUAAAAGUAAAAUGCUAAGUAGACAAGAUAUUCAUGAUAAUAUUCUCAAUUUUUUUGAGAUUCUUCAAUAAACUAGGAGAAGAAUUCUGAAUCUCAAAAUUUACAACAAUUUUGAAUCAAAAUUAAAAAGAUCUUUGAUGAACUGGAGAACAAAGAAUCUUAAUCUCAAAAUUUUUAACAAUCUUGAAUCAAAACUGAAAGGAAUAUCUUUGAUGAUCUUGAAGAUUCAAAAGAAAAUUGUUUAUCCAACAACAAUUUUGUCACUUUUGUAUCAUUCAUAAUUCACUUCGCUUACCCAAAAUUUCGACAAAAGUUUUUGGAUCAAAUGUGAAAGGUUUCUUUGUUGAACGGGGGGAUCAACUAGAAAUUUUAAAUUUCUUCGUUCUGUAUGGAUUUGAUUCUGUAUGAUUGAGAGUAAAAAGAAAUAUAAGCGUAAUUUAUGGAAUUUAAUUAGUUUUCAGAUUUUAUUUUCUUUUUAGCGCAACAGAAAGAUUCUUUUUGUAUUAAAAUUAGUGUAUCUAGAUGGUGGUGACUUAUGUAUUUGUUGAAGGAAGCUGAUGGAACAGGUUUGGUAGUAUAUGACUUUUUUCCUAUAUAAGGAUGAUGUAACUCAAUCAUUCAUUCAUCAAUAUAAUCCUUGAUUCUUCACAUACAUAUCUGUGAGAAUUCUACAUCCGAAAGGUACAAAUUUUAACGGAUCAUUUUAUUAGAAAAAAAUAGAGAUAAAAUAUAAUGUAUUCUUUACAUUACGAAGUUUACGUAAGUUAAUCAAAUUUGAUUAAACUUCCCUUAAAUCAUAAAAGUUUAACUUAAUAUUAUUCCAACUUUAUUAUAGAUAUAUAUAAUUGGAAAAAAAAACAAACAAAAUAGAACAUAAGAUCUCGAUCGCUGGACAAAUGUUUGUCUAUAAUAAAUAAAUAUGUCGGUAAUAAUUAUUGACUAGGUCAAUGUAGCUAAGGUUUGUACUUGUUUAUACUUACAUCCUAUCUCUUGGGACGAUUAAAAAAAUAUUAGUUUAGCUUAUUUAAUAAUGGAAUCUUAUAUGGAGUUUACUAAUUUUAUCUUUGUCGGUGAUUAAGUUAUACAAAUGAUUAAUUAUUUUUCUAAUUAAAAAGUCAAAAGUCAUUAUUGGAUGAACCAAGAAUCUUCCAUGUAUUUGAAUACUUUUUCUGUCUCCCUUAAAUCGUGAUGGCUUUUUUGUAAGUUAAAUAAUAAAAAAUUUUAUUAAUGUUUUGUUGAUAUAAGAAAUUAUAAAAUAAGUAUUUUUGUAUAAUAUAUUUAAAUUUUUAAUUUAAAUUUAAAUUUUAAAAAUUAGUUAUAUUAACUGUUAAAAAACCGUACAACGACUAAAACGGGACGGCUUGUUCUCUUCUUUCUUUUAUUAUAAAUAAAAAUAAAAAUUUAACUAAUGUGCAAUCAAUAAUGUUAAUUAUUUAUUCAAAGUUUAAAUUAAACACAUAAAAGUGAAAAGUAUAAAGCCUUCAACCGAUUCGAUUCAUUUAAUUAUGUUUCUUAAGAUAUUCCAUAUUUUCAAAUUUUAAAGAGAACUAUAAAUUCCUACAUUUAAAACUACAUACAUUAUUAAAAUGUGCCUAUAUAACACGCAUUUAAAUUAGUUGUGCUCAAAUAUAGAUAUCAAACAAGGAAUAAAACAUAAAGUGAAUUACUUAAACUAUAAUUAUAUAUUAAGUAAUUAAAUCAAAUCGUGUAAUUUAAUUAAUUAUACUACCAAAAUAUUAACUUCAACGAUAUGAAGUAACGCAAUGUACCUUUAAAGUUUCACAAAAUUUAAUUAGGUUGUAAGGUUUGAUUCUUGAAAUUUAGAAAUUAUUUUCAAGUGAUUUGAGUACAUUGAAAGUACCUAAGUCAAUAAAGUCAAAAAUAAAUUAAUUUUUACUUUGUAUCGUGACCUGUAUUCUACAUCUUGUGUGUUCCCACGAUAAUAAACUAAGAUACCAAAAAUUUCAUAGAUAUUAUAUUUAAUCAUAUAAAUUUUUUCAAUAUUGAGCUACAUAAUCCGUUGAAUUUUUUGCCCUCUAUUCCCACCUAAAACUAAAAAGAAAGAACAACAUUAAUUGCUUUAUUUAGUAAUGAAAGUGGGUCAUUAUAUAUAUAUAUAUAUAUAUAUAUAUAUAUAUAUAUAUAUAUAUAUAUAUAUAUAUAUAUAUAUUAUUUUAUUUUAUUUUAUUUUAUUUUUUUGACAACUAGGGAAACCUGAGCCGCUAUCCUAUAAAAUAGCUCGCAAAUCACAUAGGAGAGGUAACCUGCACUAGGCAAGCCUGGUGCAACGAGCUUGACCCAGAAGGCAAAUCUCUUGCUUUCGCUGGCAAGGGGUUUCAAACUUGAGACCUCCAAUAUGGAAGUUUCAAGCUCAAACCAUUGGGCCACCCCGAAGGGUUAUAUAUAUAUAACUUUUAGUAAUAUUAGAUAUUGACAUUAAUAAAGAGUGUUAAAGUCUUUAUCGGUAUCAGUUAAGUGUCAUUAGAACCAAUGUUGCUAAAGGCUUUAGGGACACAUACAAAGAAAGUUAUUGCCGCUAAAAACACUUAUUUGGCGACGUUUGAAAAUUAAUUGCCAAUAAUGAUUAUUUUUAAUAUAGUGUAUAUAUGUAUUAUUGUUUUAAAUCUCUAUACUAUUUAAGCACUAAAGGUAAUUAAAGGUUAGUUUAUCAAUCAAAAUCAAAAAAAAAUAAAUUGUUACUCCCUUAGUUCGUUUCAUAGUAGUUGAUCAUCUUACUAAAAAUAAUUGUUACACAUUAAUUGUCCAUCUUAUUAAAUCAAGAAAUCAAUAAUUAAUUUUUUCCUAUAUUAUCUAUUCAGAUAAUUCUUUUGAAAGUAUUAACAUUUGUUUGUAAAAUGUAAAAGAAGUUUUCAAGGGGUGAAUUAAUAAAAUUAUCUAGCUAGUUAAUAAAAAUGAUGGGUGAAAUAAUAUUAUCUAGCUACUUAAUAAAAAUAAUCAACUAAUAUGAGACACAUAAAAAUAGAAUUCUUCAAAUAUUUUGUAACAAAAAAAAAAAGAAAAAAGGCAGUGUACACUGAUUUUUGUAACUAAAAAUCGUGCGAAGUUGAGGGAUGCACGCAUUUUUUUCAAAGAUUUUGUAUGUAUGUAAUGUAAAAGCUUGGAAGAAAAAGAAGACUUUGUAGCUCUUUGAAUUAUUGCAUCACAAGAUGUAAAGAAAAUUGUAUGGUUGUCUUAAUAGUUUAUACAUUUUUGCUUAGCUUGCACCCUCUAUCCAAUAAAUAAAGUCAAAUUGAGCCAACAACAUGACAAAACCAAUUAUAAAAAUGAAUAAAAACUUUACCUACAUUUAUGUAAAUCUUGGUAAGGGUAAUUGUCGAAAUGAAAGCUAUAUAAAGGGGUUUGAGUGAAACUUAAAGAGGACACCAACUUCUCUUCUUUGGUUUCAAAUAUGGGGAAAAUGGCCUCUCUAGUUGCUACUCUUUUAGUGGUUUUAGUGUCACUUAGCUUUGCUUCCGAAAGCUCAGCAAACUAUCAAUACUCAUCUCCUCCACCACCAAAGAAGCCAUACCACCCUUCACCAACACCUUAUCAUCUCGCACCAGUUUACAGAUCACCACCACCACCAACUCCACUUUACAAGUCACCACCACCACCUAAGGAGCCACACUAUCCUCCACACACCCCGGUUUACAAGUCGCCACCUCCUCCAGCUCCAAUUUACAAGUCACCACCACCACCGGUGAAGCCAUACCAUCCAGCACCAGUUUAUAAGUCACCACCACCCCCUACGCCUGUUUACAAGUCACCACCACCACCAGUGAAGCCACACCAUCCUGCACCAGUAUACAAGUCUCCACCACCACCAACUCCAGUUUAUAAGUCACCACCUCCUCCAACACCCGUUUACAAGUCACCACCACCACCAGUGAAGCCAUACCAUCCUGCACCAGUAUACAAGUCACCACCACCUCCAACACCCAUUUACAAGUCACCACCACCACCAGUGAAGCCAUACCAUCCUGCACCAGUAUACAAGUCACCACCACCUCCAACACCCGUUUACAUGUCACCACCACCACCAGUGAAGCCAUACCAUCCUGCACCAGUAUACAAGUCACCACCACCUCUAACACCCGUUUACAAGUCACCACCACCACCAGUGAAGCCAUACCAUCCUGCACCAGUAUACAAAUCUCCACCACCACCAACUCCAAUUUACAAGUCACCUCCACCACCAGUGAAGCCAUACCAUCCUGCACCAGUAUACAAGUCUCCACCACCACCAACUCCAGUUUAUAAGUCACCACCACCACCGGUGAAGCCAUACCAUCCUACACCUGUGUACAAGUCUCCACCACCACCAACUCCUGUUUACAUGUCCCCACCACCACCAGUGAAGCCAUACCAUCCUACACCUGUGUACAAUUCUCCACCACCACCAACUCCCGUUUACAUGUCCCCACCACCACCAGUGAAGCCAUAUCAUCCUACACCUGUGUACAAAUCUCCACCACCACCAACUCUCGUUUACAAAUCACCACCACCACCCGUGAAGCCAUACCAUCCUUCACCAACACCACACCAUCCUACACCAGUAUACAAGUC